CCUACGGGGCGCUGCAGUGGGGGAUAUUGCACAAUGGGGGGAACCCUGAUGCAGCGACGCCGCGUGGGUGAAGAAGCGCCUCGGCGCGUAAAGCCCUGUCAGCAGGGAAGAAAAUGACGGUACCUGAAGAAGAAGCCCCGGCUAACUACGUGCCAGCAGCCGCGGGAAUACGUAGGGGGCAAGCGUUAUCCGGAUUUACUGGGUGUAAAGGGGGCGCAGACGGCGAUGCAAGCCAGGAGUGAAAGCCCGGGGCCCAACCCCGGGACUGCUCUUGGAACUGCGUGGCUGGAGUGCAGGAGGGGCAGGCGGAAUUCCUGGUGUAGCGGUGAAAUGCGUAGAUAUCAGGAGGAACACCGGUGGCGAAGGCGGCCUGCUGGACUGCAACUGACGUUGAGGCCCGAAAGCGUGGGGAGCAAACAGGAUUAGAUACCCUGGUAGUC
Molecule: ribosomal RNA, 440 nt
Filed under: uncultured bacterium
Lineage: Bacteria
Description: partial 16S ribosomal RNA
Rfam family: Bacterial small subunit ribosomal RNA
Source: RNAcentral